UUUCUCUCUCGCUCUCUAAGCUCUCUUGUCUCUCUCACUUACUCCGCCAGUCUGUCACUCUCGAUUCCCUUCGCUCUCUCUCCGCGUCUUUUGUGUACCCCACUCGACCCCCACAGCUUAAUCUUGUCCCAUUCUUGUCAAUUUAAGAUGAAAAUUUUUUUUUACUAAAAAUAUAUGAUCAUUUUGUGACUAAAAAAAGCCUAAACAUGGUCAUUUUUGCUAAUACGGUCACGGUCAUUAAAAAAAAAAAGUAUAUUUAUUUUUGUUAUUUUAUUAUUUAUUUUUUAUUAUUCAUGUUUUUUUUAUUUAUAUCUAUGUAUCAGUCAAGCACCUCUUUCGCCCCGGGAUAGAAAAAAAUCCUAAAGCCGCCCGUGCCUGCCAGAGUGUAUUCAUCAGUGAAUGUUGAUGAUUGUCUAAGUAGAACCGAGAUGCCAUCGUUUUGUCGCUGGGCCCAAAUCACCUCAUCCAGAAUCAAGUGCCACAUAAAGAAAUAUUAAAGGAAGCAAGUCAGUUUGAUUUUCACCGUAUUGUUUAUUGCACAUAAAACAAGCAGAAUUAAUAUUUAAACUUAAAGUCUAAUUUUAUAAUACAUACUACCAGUGGGACAUUUUUUGUGCUCCCUGAAAUUUCCUAAGAUGGAAUUGAUAUCAAGGAAGUACGACAAAGUAGCACAUCUUGACUGAGUGUCAAGAUCUGUCACAGUUCGCUUCCUUGUUUUAAUGUUGUCAUACUUUCGGUUGGCGUGUCUGUGUGCUCGCCCCUCCCCUCCUGUGCCCUGAUCAGUGUGAUCACCCUCACCCUGUUUGCGUCGCAUGUCUUCUUGUUCCGUGUUUCUCUCGUCGCUUGUCUGUUCUCGUCUUGUUUGCUCUUUCUGUUCAGUUCUUCUCGUCCCAAGUCGAGGGACUUUUGAGUUCCUUCACUAAACCCUGGUCCAAGCUGCAUUUGGUCGCCCAGCUCCAUUCAUGACACCGAGAAACAAGCGUUGCAUGUUGACCUGUUAAUGCGCGUCUCCCGCCUGCGUCGGUGAGCGGUCGCCAUCGUCUUCUUCUGCCCAGGAUCCCGCGGUGAAACCCGCCGGAGCCGAGACAGAGUGCGGGGCCACGGUGUGUCCGAGGCCUUGGUAGCGACCGGUUGAAGAAGGCGAGGUGGGCACGGAAGCGGGCGCGGCAUCCUGAGACAGCAGCCCGGUGUGUUCGCUGUGCUCGGGUCGGGCGGCCGCGCCAAAGUACAUCUUGUUGGGUCGGCCCAGGAAGGUGCGGCCUAAGGGACGAAAAGAUUCGGCUUUUCUUUUGGGUUCUCGUUUGAACGGCGGCAGACGGGAAGGACGGGCGCUCACCAACGUGGCGGGCCUGCUCGGUGACGUCGGCCCUGAUGUCCGAGAAGUCCCACAUGGCCAGAAAGCUAUCCAAGCACGUUCCUUCCUCUGCCUCCUAAAUGUUUCACCCACAGUUAGUGUGUGUGUGUGCGCGUGUGUGUGUGUGUGCACGCACCUGUAUGUAGGGCUUGUGAGUGAAGGUGUAAUGGUGCGCAAUGGCCGCCAGGAACAUUUCUAUGCAGAUGAUGAAGUCCUGGAUUGUGGGUGAAAUACACAACAGCAUUGCGAUCAUAAAUUCAAGUUUGUUGUCUUGUCUGUGCUCACCUGCAGUCCAGUGGCCACCGCCUCCACGCUGGCCCAGUCCCAUGUACGUUUCUCCGAGAUGACGCCCACCUUCACCAGGAACGCGAUCAACACCGCCUGCCUGGACCAACAUCCCGAUGACAUCAGGUGCUGUGUGAAAUCUAAAAUCUGACUCGAAAGUCGACGUUAAUACCAGAAGGAGACGAAGACCACCAGUUUGACGCAGAGGAACUUGCCCACGGGUCUGAUGGGGGUCAGCUCCUCUUUUAGCGCUCGGUAGAGCAACACCAGGCAGUACAUGGCAAACUACACACAUACAGUUUUAUCCAAGACUUAAUCCUUCAAAUCCAAAAAUCAUUUCUUUACCAGCUGCGAUAUAUUGUUGAUGAUGACCAGGUAGGACCAAGCGUUGCGAAAGCUGAAGUUGGCUUCGUCGUAAACUCCACACAGCUGACAGACCCUGAGGGACACCCAGGAAGUGAAUCACGUGUUUUGUCACCGAGUUGUCGUCACGGUUGGUCGUGCGUCGCCAUGGUUUCCGUAACCAUUCUGCGGUGUCGCCGCCGCAGUGGUAACAAAUCAUGCUGUGUUGUUGCCAUUGGGUCUACUUGAAUUAUGUUCUCCCGUCACCAUGACAACGGACUAAAUGGGAACCUCUUGACAUGUUGCUUUGUAAAGUAAAUGCAGUCAAAUAAAACUGAGAAAAGUAAA
Molecule: long non-coding RNA, 2329 nt
Organism: Syngnathus typhle (broad-nosed pipefish)
Lineage: Eukaryota; Metazoa; Chordata; Actinopteri; Syngnathiformes; Syngnathidae
Exons: 2
Source: RefSeq, a predicted model, not a curated record